UUCCGGUUGAUCCCGCCGGACCCUACUGCUAUCGGGGUGGGACUAAGACAUGCGAGUCGUGCGUCUCUAAGCCAUGGUAGAGGCGCGGCGUACGGCUCAGUAACACGUGGUUAACCUACCCUUAGGACGGGGACAACCCCGGGAAACUGGGGCUAAUUUCUGAUAGGUGAGGAGGCCUGGAAUGGUUCUUCGCCGAAAAGGCGUUGAAACCAUGCUUUUCAACGUCGCCUAAGGAUGGGGCCGCGCCCGAUCAGGUUGUUGGUGAGGUAACGGCUCACCAAGCCUAUAACCGGUACGGGCCGUGAGAGCGGGAGCCCGGAGAUGGGCACUGAGACAAGGGCCCAGGCCCUACGGGGCGCAGCAGUCGCGAAGACUCCGCAAUGCGCGAAAGCGUGACGGGGCUACCCCGAGUGCCGUCCGCUGAGGAUGGCUUUUCCCCGGUGUAAUGAGCCGGGGGAAUAAGGAGAGGGCAAGACUGGUGUCAGCCGCCGCGGUAAUACCAGCUCUCCGAGUGGUAGGGACGAUUAUUGGGCUUAAAGCGUCCGUAGCCGGCUUAGCAAGUCUCCUGUUAAAUUCAGCGACUCAAUCGUUGAGCCGCGGGAGAUACUACUAGGCUAGGAGGCGGGAGAGGUCGACGGUAUUCUCGGGGGAGGGGUGAAAUCCUAUAAUCCCGGGAGGACCACCAGUGGCGAAGGCUGUCGGCUAGAACGCGCUCGACGGUGAGGGACGAAAGCUGGGGGGAGCGAACCGGAUUAGAUACCCGGGUAGUCCCAGCUGUAAACGAUGCGGGCUAGGUGUUGAGGUGGCUACGAGCCACUUCAGUGCCGCAGGGAAGCCAUUAAGCCCGCCGCCUGGGGAGUACGGCCGCAAGGCUGAAACUUAAAGGAAUUGGCGGGGGAGCACCAC
Molecule: ribosomal RNA, 906 nt
Filed under: uncultured archaeon
Lineage: Archaea
Description: bacterial SSU rRNA
Rfam family: Archaeal small subunit ribosomal RNA
Source: RNAcentral